UCCUGGCUCAGGACGAACGCUGGCGGCGUGGCUCUUACUGCAGUCGACGGAAGGUCUCUUCGGAGAUACUCGAGUGGCCAACGGGUGAGUAACACGUGGGUGAUCUGCCCUGCACUUCGGGAUAAGCCUGGGAAACUGGGUCUAAUACCGGAUAGGACCACGGGAUGCAUGUCUUGUGGUGGAAAGCGCUUUAGCGGUGUGGGAUGAGC
Molecule: ribosomal RNA, 209 nt
Filed under: Mycobacterium tuberculosis subsp. tuberculosis
Lineage: Bacteria; Bacillati; Actinomycetota; Actinomycetes; Mycobacteriales; Mycobacteriaceae
Description: partial 16S ribosomal RNA
Rfam family: Bacterial small subunit ribosomal RNA
Source: RNAcentral